UUCUUCUGCAUUAACAGAAAUCUGCUAUAAUUGUGUGAUUCAGAUUGAUCUGUUUCAUGCAAUAAUGCUAGCAGAGUAUUGCGUGGAAGGAGAUUGUGCUCUGUGUUGGAAAUGAGAUGUGGUCGAACCUCUUUCUUAAUGUUCGUUGGCCUCCAUCUCAAGGCUCAGUGCAACAAUU
Small nucleolar RNA from Scomber scombrus (Atlantic mackerel), 178 nucleotides. RefSeq annotates it as small nucleolar RNA SNORA81. The transcript has a single exon. The record is from RefSeq and is a predicted model, not a curated record. NCBI's taxonomy places the organism in Eukaryota, Metazoa, Chordata, Actinopteri, Scombriformes, Scombridae.